RNAcentral lists this ribosomal RNA (484 nucleotides) under uncultured bacterium. Its description in RNAcentral is "partial 16S ribosomal RNA". It matches the Rfam family "Bacterial small subunit ribosomal RNA", at positions 30 to 507 of the family's 1533-position model. The record is from RNAcentral.
AUUGAACGCUGGCGGCAGGCCUAACACAUGCAAGUCGAGCGGAUGAAGGGAGCUUGCUCCUGGAUUCAGCGGCGGACGGGUGAGUAAUGCCUAGGAAUCUGCCUGGUAGGGGGGGAUAACGUCCGGAAACGGGCGCUAAUACCGCAUACGUCCUGAGGGAGAAAGUGGGGGAUCUUCGGACCUCACGCUAUCAGAUGAGCCUAGGUCGGAGUAGCUAGUUGGUGGGGUAAAGGCCUACCAAGGCGACGAUCCGUAACUGGUCUGAGAGGAUGAUCAGUCACACUGGAACUGAGACACGGACCAGACUCCUACGGGAGGCAGCAGUGGGCAAUAUUGGGCAAUGGGCGAAAGCCUGAUCCAGCCAUGCCGCGUGUGUGAAGAAGGUCUUCGGAUUGUAAAGCACUUUCAGUUGGGAGGAAGGGCAGUAAGUUAAUACCUUGCUGUUUUGACGUUACCAACAGAAUAAGCACCGGCUAACUUCGUG